Molecule: ribosomal RNA, 468 nt
Filed under: uncultured bacterium
Lineage: Bacteria
Description: partial 16S ribosomal RNA
Rfam family: Bacterial small subunit ribosomal RNA
Source: RNAcentral
GAUGAACGCUGGCGGCGUGCUUAACACAUGCAAGUCGAACGGAAAGGCCAGUGCUUGCACUGGUACUCGAGUGGCGAACGGGUGAGUAACACGUGGGUGAUCUGCCCUGCACUUCGGGAUAAGCCUGGGAAACUGGGUCUAAUACCGGAUAGGACAAUGGUUUGGAUGCCGUUGUGGAAAGUUUUUUCGGUGUGGGAUGAGCUCGCGGCCUAUCAGCUUGUUGGUGGGGUAAUGGCCUACCAAGGCGUCGACGGGUGGCCGGCCUGAGAGGGUGUACGGCCACAUUGGGACUGAGAUACGGCCCAGACUCCUACGGGAGGCAGCAGUGGGGAAUAUUGCACAAUGGGCGCAAGCCUGAUGCAGCGACGCCGCGUGGGGGAUGACGGCCUUCGGGUUGUAAACUCCUGUCGCUAGGGACGAAGCGUAUUUGUGACGGUACCUGGAGAAGAAGCACCGGCUAACUACGUG